AUCGCUUCUCGGCCUUUUGGCUAAGAUCAAGUGUAGUAUCUGUUCUUAUCAGUUUAAAAGUAAAAUCUUUGGACACCUGGGUGGCUCAGUUGGUUGGGCGUCUGCCUUCGGCUCAUGUCAUGAUCCCAGGAUCCUGGGACUGAGCUCCACAUCUGCUCCCUGCUCUGCAGGAGCCUGCUUCUCCCCCUC
Molecule: small nuclear RNA, 189 nt
Organism: Neogale vison (American mink)
Lineage: Eukaryota; Metazoa; Chordata; Mammalia; Carnivora; Mustelidae
Product: U2 spliceosomal RNA
Exons: 1
Source: RefSeq, a predicted model, not a curated record